RNAcentral lists this small nuclear RNA (125 nucleotides) under Zalophus californianus (California sea lion). Its description in RNAcentral is "U4 spliceosomal RNA (ENSZCAG00015025072.1)". The stretch from base 1 to 71 matches the Rfam family "U4 spliceosomal RNA". From Rfam's summary of the family: U4 small nuclear RNA (U4 snRNA) is a component of the major U2-dependent spliceosome. The structure of U4 snRNA from yeast and human has been reported. Lineage: Eukaryota; Metazoa; Chordata; Mammalia; Carnivora; Otariidae. The record is from RNAcentral.
AGCUUUGCGCAGUGGCAGUAUCGUAGCCGAUGUGGUUUACCCGAGGCGCGAUUAUUGCUAAUUGAAAAGAAGCUUAUAUAUAUGGGGCGCCUGGGUGGCUCAGUCGUUGAGCGUCUGCCUUCGGC